GCUGUCCCAUUUGAAGUUAAAAAUACUUUUUGAAAAUAGAUAAGUUCUAAUUGCUUUUAAAGUGCUCUCGCUGUUUUUAAAAUCAAUGCCUAGUUUUUACUAUCCAGUUCGGCCCUCACGCUCUCGGGAUUGUCGGUUCUCACCUUAGUUAAUUUCCCACUCUCGUGGCAAAAUCGUAUUAAAUAGUUUCUCACUCUUGUGACAAAGUUAAUUAAAUUUAAAUUAAAAAUCACAGCCAAGAAGAUUGUUUGAGACAAGAAGUUUUUCACCGAUUAUUAUUAAAUCCCGUCUAAUUAAAUUGUUACAUACCGAUACUGGUAGUUUAGCCAGACAUGUUAAAUAACACAAACACAGGCGAGCAUAAACAGAUUAACAAUACAUCAAACAUAAUUAUAAUAAUAACAAAGCAAUAACAAUAAUAAUUGAAUAAAAACCUGACAAUUGGAUUAAUAGAAUACGCCGAAUCUUGAAAUACUUGAGCAGUCCUCCACAGGACGAUAGGAUUCUGCUUCUUCGAAAUAAUUGCUUAAACUAAAUUAAAUAAAUUGUAGUAGUUCCCCAGUGUAGGAAACUACUACUUUGGCUAAAUGGAAAACGGAAAGGGAAAGGAAAAAUGGAAACCCUAACGGAAUGGUAACUAGAUUGCGGUAGAGGAAACAAUGUUGCUGAAGAAAUAUAAUACUAGAAAGCAGAAUUGCUGUAGAAAAUAAAUUGCAUAGAAAAAUUCAGCGUCCCUUUCGUCUCCAACAUCUGUCUUUUUAUAUCCCCUGGUAGGUCAUGGAAGUUGAGAGAAAUAAGGAUGACUUGGUUGAGUGAGGAAUCCACGGGAAAGUGGCUCUGGAACGAGAAUUUAGGCACGUUGGCUCACUUCUUUGACUGUUUCAAGGCGUUGAUUUUGGCCGCGUGACGUUCGUCAUGUUGGUGUAAGCCCUAGAGGCCAAUACUUUUUGGUACUUGUAUCGAAUUAUUUAUUAAUAAUAAAAGGCAUUUUCUUUAUUAUGGUUGAUUAAUAAAGUCCCUGGAAUAGAUAGUCCGUUUAAUGUAUUAAGUGUGACUUAAUCACGAGAACACAUUAAACAUAAGGACACUAUUCUUAAAGUAUCCGUAGUCGAGCUUUAGUGUGAAGUGGGAUAACAUUAAAGCAUUAAGACUAUUAUGUUUGUAGACUGAUGAUCACAUCUCAUGGAUCAUGGAUAAAGAGUUAUCAAGUCUUAAACAUAGGUAUGAAUAUUAGGAGUAAUAUUUAUACCGGAUUGACCCGCUAUGAGAAUACUAUAUAGAAAGUUAUGCAAAGUGUCAUAAGUUAUUCUCAUGGUGAUAAUAGUGUAUACCACUCUUAGACCUGAAACCACUAUGGAUCCUAGAUGUAGAGUCGAGUGCUUUAUUGUUGAUCCAACGUUGUCGGUAACUGGAUAACCAUAAAGACAGUUGAUGGGUACUCCACGAAGCAUGCUGAGGGACAUGAGUGUCCUAGAUGGAAUUUGCCCAUCCUGCGUAAUAGGAUAAAUGUCUAUGGGCCCAAUAUUGAACUGGACAAGGAUGACACAGUUUAUACCUUGUGUUCAAUAUAUACAUAAAGGCAAAAGGGUAAUUAUACACAUAAGUAUUAUCACAGAAGGUUUUGUCAGAUCACACGACAUUUUCGUGUCUUGGGUAACAGUGAUGUGUUGCUAGAUACCGCUCACUGUUUAUUAUGUUAAAUGCGUGAUUUAAUAUAAUUGCCAACGUCACGAAAACCUACAGGGUCACACACAAAGGACGGAUUAAUGAGAGAUAGAGUAACUAAGGAAUACCGUAAGGUACGGACAACGUCACGAAAACCUACAGGGUCACACACAAAGGACGGAUUAAUGAGAGAUAGAGUAACUAAGGAAUACCGUAAGGUACGGUGCCCUUAAGUGAAUUAUACAACAUCGUAAGGUACGGUGUACUUGAGUAGAAUACGAAAUAUGGUAAGGUACCAUGGGCUUAAGUGAUUUUGGGCAUAUUAUAAGAUAUGGGCCAAAAUACACAUAAGUGGGCUUUUUAGCUUGAAGCCCACACAAGUGGUUCUAUAAAUAGAAUCCUUGUGCAAAAGCAUUAAUAGCCACACUUGUUGUUAAAUGCAUCAACAGUUCCAUUGUUUCCACCAUCGUACCCACCAAAGAUGUUGCUGAAAAAACCAGUCAUCUUAUGAUAUACGAUAUGAUCUCUGUGAAUAUAUAUAAAUAGUUGAAAUGCUUAGGUUUGUGUUGAUGUUUGUUCCUAACUAAGCCAAACAUUAUAUAGAUGCAUAAAGUUACUGUGUUA
Molecule: long non-coding RNA, 2289 nt
Filed under: Lathyrus oleraceus (garden pea)
Lineage: Eukaryota; Viridiplantae; Streptophyta; Magnoliopsida; Fabales; Fabaceae
Description: Pisum sativum (pea) long non-coding RNA (PSAT_LNC035461)
Source: RNAcentral